This 752-nucleotide ribosomal RNA is filed under the name uncultured bacterium. RNAcentral describes it as "bacterial SSU rRNA". It matches the Rfam family "Bacterial small subunit ribosomal RNA", at positions 729 to 1476 of the family's 1533-position model. The record is from RNAcentral.
CUGGACAGUGACUGACGCUGAGGCGCGAAAGCUAGGGGAGCAAACGGGAUUAGAUACCCCGGUAGUCCUAGCUGUAAACGAUGGGCACUUGGUGUUGGGGGUAUUGAGUCCCCCGGUGCCGGAGUUAACACGUUAAGUGCCCCGCCUGGGGAGUACGGUCGCAAGACUGAAACUCAAAGGAAUUGACGGGGGCCCGCACAAGCGGUGGAGCAUGUGGUUCAAUUCGACGCAACGCGAAGAACCUUACCGGGGCUCGAACGGUAACUGCUACCCUUGGAAACAGGGGGUUCUCUUCGGAGACGGUUACCGAGGUGCUGCAUGGCUGUCGUCAGCUCGUGUCGUGAGAUGUUGGGUUAAGUCCCGCAACGAGCGCAACCCUUGCCCUUAGUUGCUAACAGGUUAAGCUGAGCACCCUAAGGGUACUGUCGGCGAAAAGCCGGAGGAAGGUGGGGAUGACGUCAAGUCCUCAUGGCCCUUACGUCCCGGGCUACACACGUGCUACAAUGGUCGGUACAAAGGGUCGCCAACCCGCGAGGGGGAGCUAAUCCCAGAAAGCCGAUCUCAGUUCGGAUUGCAGUCUGCAACUCGACUGCAUGAAGGUGGAAUCGCUAGUAAUCGCAGAUCAGAACGCUGCGGUGAAUACGUUCCCGGGCCUUGUACACACCGCCCGUCACAUCACGAAAGUGGGUUGUACUAGAAAUCGCUGAGCUAACCCGCAAGGGGGGCAGGCGCUUAAGGUAUGAUCCAUGAUU